Molecule: ribosomal RNA, 478 nt
Filed under: uncultured bacterium
Lineage: Bacteria
Description: partial 16S ribosomal RNA
Rfam family: Bacterial small subunit ribosomal RNA
Source: RNAcentral
GAUGAACGCUGGCGGCGUGCUUAACACAUGCAAGUCGAACGAGAAGUGAAGACGGAAACCUUCGGGCGGAAGGCUUUAUUUCGAGUGGCGGACGGGUGAGUAACGCGUGGGUAACCUGCCUCAUACAGGGGGAUAACAGUUGGAAACGACUGUUAAUACCGCAUAAGACCACAGCACCGCAUGGUGCGGGGGUAAAAACUCCGGUGGUAUGAGAUGGACCCGCGUUCGAUUAGCCAGUUGGCGGGGUAACGGCCCACCAAAGCGACGAUCGAUAGCCGAUCUGAGAGGAUGACCGGCCACAUUGGGACUGAGACACGGCCCAAACUCCUACGGGAGGCAGCAGUGGGGAAUAUUGCACAAUGGGGGAAACCCUGAUGCAGCGACGCCGCGUGAGUGAAGAAGUAUUUCGGUAUGUAAAGCUCUAACAGCAGGGAAGAAAAUGACGGUACCUGAGUAAGAAGCCCCGGCUAACUACGUG